RNAcentral lists this small RNA (27 nucleotides) under Bombyx mori (domestic silkworm). RNAcentral's name for it is "ovarian small RNA-27923". The record is from RNAcentral. Lineage: Eukaryota; Metazoa; Arthropoda; Insecta; Lepidoptera; Bombycidae.
UCCUGCAUCUGCCCGUAGGUCGCCUGC